AUACUAUUUAUAUAGAGAGAGUUCGAUUACUAUACUGUUAAUGGUAUUUAGGUUAUUUUACUGUACAGUUUUGAGCCGUUACAUCUACUCUUUUGAUUAUUUCUAUUAUUGGAUCAAUACUAUUUAAUCAACUAUCGCUAAACCUUAGGAGGACCACCACUCAACCCUAGGAGACUACUAUCAUUCUAAUCCUAUAAUUUUUCAUCCAAAAACUAAAAACUGUACAGUAAACAAAUUCAAAUACUAUUACUAGUAUAGAAGUUCAAUUUUACUUACGGUUAACUAAUCUUUUCUAACGGAUCCUAACGGCAGAGACACAUUUGAAAAUAUCAUUACUUUUAUAGAGACAAUGUAUGAAAAUUGAACUUUGUGGGAAUAUAAUUAUAAUUCACUAUAUUUGUAAGAACCCCUAUGAAAUUAACCCCUAUAUAUAUAUAUAUAUAUAUAUAUAUAUAUAUAUAUAUAUAUAUAGAGAGAGAGAGAGAGAGAGAGAGAGAGAGAGAGAGAGAGAGAAGGACUACUAUACUAUUAUAAGUAUUGGGCCCUUCGUACUCAUAAAUUAUUUUCGAUGAUGGAGCUUCUGAAUCGACGAUUCACUCCGUUAAAUAUAAUCUAGAGUAUUUGAAACUUCUAGAAAAUAAAUUUCGUAAUUUUUCGAAAUCAUAAUAAAGUCCAUCAAGCGGGUAUAAAAUGAACGGUCAAAAUCGAACGAUAUCUUAAAAAUGGAUGAUCAGAUCCUUCAAUUUACGAUCGGAGUGUAUUAAUCUUCAUCUCGGUAGUGAAUAUAAUUUUCUAUCAAAAAUUCAACCUAUUCGGAUUCUUUUGCACCGUUAAACUAGCAAGUAUUUCAUACCGGCCAUUAAAAAUUGUCAAUUUUGUGAGCUUCUUGAUCGUAAG
RNAcentral lists this long non-coding RNA (897 nucleotides) under Ananas comosus (pineapple). RNAcentral's name for it is "long non-coding RNA (ACOM_LNC032895)". The record is from RNAcentral. Lineage: Eukaryota; Viridiplantae; Streptophyta; Magnoliopsida; Poales; Bromeliaceae.